Molecule: ribosomal RNA, 283 nt
Filed under: uncultured bacterium
Lineage: Bacteria
Description: partial 16S ribosomal RNA
Rfam family: Bacterial small subunit ribosomal RNA
Source: RNAcentral
GAUGAACGCUAGCGGCAGGCCUAAUACAUGCAAGCCGAACGGCAAGCCUUGUAGCAAUACGAGGCCUAGAGUGGCGCAAGGGUGCGUAACACGUAUGCAAUCUGCCCACAACAGGAGGACAGCUCCCCGAAAGGGGAAUUAACCCUCCAUGGGACCACACGAGGGCAUCCGAGAGUGGUUAAACCAAAAGGGGUUGUGGAUGGGCAUGCGGUUGAUUAGCUGGUUGGUAGGGAACGGCCUACCAAGGCGAUGAUCAAUAGGGGAACUGAGAGGUUUGUCCCCA